AGAGUUUGAUCCUGGCUCAGAUUGAACGCUGGCCGCAGGCCUAACACAUGCAAGUCGAGCGGUAACAGAAAGUAGCUUGCUACUUUGCUGACGAGCGGCGGACGGGUGAGUAAUGCUUGAGAACAUGCCUUGAGGUGGGGGACAACAGUUGGAAACGACUGCUAAUACCGCAUAAUGUCUACGCACCAAAGGGGGCUUCGGCUCUCGCCUUUAGAUUGGCCCAAGUGGGAUUAGCUAGUUGGUGAGGUAAUGGCUCACCAAGGCAACGAUCCCUAGCUGGUUUGAGAGGAUGAUCAGCCACACUGGGACUGAGACACGGCCCAGACUCCUACGGGAGGCAGCAGUGGGGAAUAUUGCACAAUGGGCGCAAGCCUGAUGCAGCCAUGCCGCGUGUGUGAAGAAGGCCUUCGGGUUGUAAAGCACUUUCAGUCAGGAGGAAAGGUUAGUAGUUAAUACCUGCUAGCUGUGACGUUACUGACAGAAGAAGCACCGGCUAACUCCGUGCCAGCAGCCGCGGUAAUACGGAGGGUGCGAGCGUUAAUCGGAAUUACUGGGCGUAAAGCGUACGCAGGCGGUUUGUUAAGCGAGAUGUGAAAGCCCCGGGCUCAACCUGGGAACUGCAUUUCGAACUGGCAAACUAGAGUGUGAUAGAGGGUGGUAGAAUUUCAGGUGUAGCGGUGAAAUGCGUAGAGAUCUGAAGGAAUA
Molecule: ribosomal RNA, 705 nt
Filed under: Pseudoalteromonas sp. L-29
Lineage: Bacteria; Pseudomonadati; Pseudomonadota; Gammaproteobacteria; Alteromonadales; Pseudoalteromonadaceae
Description: bacterial SSU rRNA
Rfam family: Bacterial small subunit ribosomal RNA
Source: RNAcentral